Molecule: transfer RNA, 106 nt
Filed under: Trichoderma hamatum GD12
Lineage: Eukaryota; Fungi; Ascomycota; Sordariomycetes; Hypocreales; Hypocreaceae
Description: tRNA-Und (NNN) (tRNA-Und-NNN-1-1)
Source: RNAcentral
CCCAGGCUGGUGCAAUGGUAGCACAGCUGGUGACACACGGGAACGCCUACAGCGCGGAACCGUGCCCUUGGGGCGGCAGAUCUGGGUUCGGAUCCCAGGCCUGGGG